AGAGUUUGAUCCUGGCUCAGAUUGAACGCUGGCGGAAUGCUUUACACAUGCAAGUCGGGCGGCAGCGCGGGGGCAACCCUGGCGGCGAGCGGCGAACGGGUGAGUAAUACAUCGGAACGUGUCCUUGGGUGGGGGAUAGCUCGGCGAAAGCCGGAUUAAUACCGCAUAAGCUCUGAGGAGGAAAGCGGGGGACUGGUAACGGCCUCGCGCUGCUGGAGCGGCCGAUGUCGGAUUAGCUAGUUGGUGGGGUAAAGGCUCACCAAGGCGACGAUCCGUAGCUGGUCUGAGAGGAUGAUCAGCCACACUGGAACUGAGACACGGUCCAGACUCCUACGGGAGGCAGCAGUGGGGAAUUUUGGACAAUGGGCGAAAGCCUGAUCCAGCCAUUCCGCGUGAGUGAAGAAGGCCUUCGGGUUGUAAAGCUCUUUCGGACGGAACGAAAUGGUCAGCUCUAACAGGGCUGACUGAUGACGGUACCGUAAGAAGAGC
RNAcentral lists this ribosomal RNA (489 nucleotides) under uncultured Denitratisoma sp. Its description in RNAcentral is "bacterial SSU rRNA". It matches the Rfam family "Bacterial small subunit ribosomal RNA", at positions 8 to 490 of the family's 1533-position model. The record is from RNAcentral. Lineage: Bacteria; Pseudomonadati; Pseudomonadota; Betaproteobacteria; Nitrosomonadales; Sterolibacteriaceae.